Molecule: ribosomal RNA, 372 nt
Filed under: uncultured organism
Description: partial 16S ribosomal RNA
Rfam family: Bacterial small subunit ribosomal RNA
Source: RNAcentral
GUAGGUGGCAAGCGUUGUCCGGAAUUAUUGGGGCGUAAAGCGCGCGCAGGCGGUUCUUUAAGUCUGAUGUGAAAGCCCAGGGCUCAACCGUGAGGGUCAUUGGAAACUGGAGAACUUGAGUACAGAAGAGGAAAGCGGAAUUCCACGUGUAGCGGUGAAAUGCGUAGAGAUGUGGAGGAACACCAGUGGCGAAGGCGGCUUUCUGGUCUGUAACCGACGCUGAGGCGCGAAAGCGUGGGGAGCAAACAGGAUUAGAUACCCUGGUAGUCCACGCCGUAAACGAUGAGUGCUAAGUGUUAGGGGGUUUCCGCCCCUUAGUGCUGCAGCUAACGCAUUAAGCACUCCGCCUGGGGAGUACGGCCGCAAAGGCUG